RNAcentral lists this ribosomal RNA (507 nucleotides) under uncultured bacterium. Its description in RNAcentral is "partial 16S ribosomal RNA". It matches the Rfam family "Bacterial small subunit ribosomal RNA", at positions 28 to 506 of the family's 1533-position model. The record is from RNAcentral.
GACGAACGCUGGCGGCGUGCCUAAUACAUGCAAGUCGAACGCUUCUUUCCUCCCGAGUGCUUGCACUCAAUUGGAAAGAGGAGUGGCGGACGGGUGAGUAACACGUGGGUAACCUACCCAUCAGAGGGGGAUAACACUUGGAAACAGGUGCUAAUACCGCAUAACAGUUUAUGCCGCAUGGCAUAAGAGUGAAAGGCGCUUUCGGGUGUCGUUGAUGGAUGGACCCGCGGUGCAUUAGCUAGUUGGUGAGGUAACGGCUCACCAAGGCCACGAUGCAUAGCCGACCUGAGAGGGUGAUCGGCCACACUGGGACUGAGACACGGCCCAGACUCCUACGGGAGGCAGCAGUAGGGAAUCUUCGGCAGUGGACGAAAGUCUGACCGAGCAACGCCGCGUGAGUGAAGAAGGUUUUCGGAUCGUAAAACGCUGUUGUUAGAGAAGAACAAGGACGUUAGUAACUGAACGUCCCCUGACGGUAUCUAACCAGAAAGCCACGGCUAACUACGU